Molecule: long non-coding RNA, 1489 nt
Filed under: Gallus gallus (chicken)
Lineage: Eukaryota; Metazoa; Chordata; Aves; Galliformes; Phasianidae
Source: RNAcentral
GGAAGAGAUAUGCAGGUACAUGAGGCUUCCUCAACCAUGCUAAGGCACAACAGAGAAGCUACUGUCAUCUGCAAGGAUGAGCAAGAAGUAUGAGGGGAAAAGACAUGCAAAAGAGAUUAUCCAAUAGAAUUCAAAGUACCGUUUCUGUUAGUCUAAGGAAACAGUAAUUCUAAAUGUAAAGUUUUGCCUUCCAUUAGAUUUAAAGUUGCAUCAGAAGAUGUAAAGCUCAUUAGAGAUUGCAUCUUAAUACUCUGUCCUUCAAUGCACAUUGCUUGUUAUAUUUAAGGCACUGCAUGUCGUCUUUGGUUCAGUGUUUAACUAUCUCAUUCAGUGUACAGAGAGGUAGCAUGAACCACACAUCUUUAGUUCUUCCAUUCUAUUACACAGUUUCAGUCACCACCUUCCUGAUGUUAUGGAUUCUGGAAUCCUUUAACUCAUUAGGAAACUGUAUGGAUAUCCAUGGUAUUUUGAUCUGAAGACAGAUAGUAGCCAACUGAAAAAGAACACCACCAAGCCAAUACCAGCAAUGCACAUGAUCUUUCUCUUCCCCACAUCCAUGUCAGAAGUAGCAGCUUCAUGGAGGAGUACCAUUCCUAAAGUAACACCACCAUUGAACAGAAGAACAAUGUGUGUUUCUGCAACAAACUGGGCUUGGCUGCUUCCAUGGAUAUAGUUCACUUGUCCUGUGUGGGGGUUCUUAUGAGCAUAGGGUGGCCCUCUAAUAUGGUUCCACAUCUGACCUGAUGUCAUUGCUAAUACAAAACACAAAGCAGCAAAUGCCCAGCCAGUUUUGUUAUACAGAAAAUCCAGAUUGCUCCCACGCAAAUACACAAGGCCGCCAAUGACAGCCAGCAGCAGUCCUAACAUCAGUGGUCCAGCAUAGUUUGGUGGCCUUAUCACACGUAUAUUGACAUCGGUUCUGUCGGCCACCCAACGAGCAAGCUGCUCAGCUGCAAAGCCGCGCACCUGGAGUUCAUACGUGUCACCUCGUUUAGGCUUCCCUUUAGCAGGAAAAUUAAUGAAGGUGGGAGCAGAAUUCAUGUUUAGCAUCUGAAACACAUCCGAGCCUUCAUCAAAAUCUACCAUAGCAAAAAAAAUCUUAUUGGUAAAUGCACUGGAAUAUCGCCAGGAGUUUGCCAGAAUCUGGUAUUCUUCAUCAGCUUGCUUGCACACAACACAUUGUCUGUGAGGCUGCAGAGCAGUGAACAUCACAAUCACCGAGUAGUUCCUGGGUGGUGCCUUCACAAGGCGGCGGAACUUAUCUCCGUUCAUUCGUAUCACAGAUCUCUUACUCGUCCACUCCAUCAGCUGGCUCACUUUUUCUGAUAACACCAUCUCCUUCCGCUUCUGCCCCGCAGCGCGCGGCCCACCACAGGCCAGCAGCAGCACCAGCACAAGUACCGGCAGCGCCGCCAUGACUGCCCUUUACCGCCACCUCGCACCUAUUGGCCCACACCGACCCACAGAGUUCCGACACCACCCAGGUGCU